RNAcentral lists this long non-coding RNA (571 nucleotides) under Triticum aestivum (bread wheat). Its description in RNAcentral is "long non-coding RNA (TAES_LNC013661)". Lineage: Eukaryota; Viridiplantae; Streptophyta; Magnoliopsida; Poales; Poaceae. The record is from RNAcentral.
AAAAAAACAUUGAACUUCGAAGAUGUACAGAAGUAAACUAGAACUAAAAAAGCAGAUGGAUCUCAAAAGAGCCAUCAGCGCAAAAAUUAAAUGACGCCAAUCCAAAGGUCAGUCCAGAAGUGUUCAAAUCGGCACACAGUAUCAGCAACAAGUGCUAAAACAACUGGCUUGCACAAAGUAUAAGCUUGAUUGCUACAAGCAGCAUAAUCCACUGGAUGAUUUAGAUUAAUAUAUUACUUAGACGUGACGUGACCCAUAAUCCACUGAUGUUCCACGAAUGUUUACUCCACGGAAUAACCCUGACCACUCGGACCAAAACAAUAACCACCACAACCCAGUCUCAGAUAACGAUAGGGCACGACAUAAUAAUAACUAAGCAGCAGGUCUCUGCCACAGAACAUCGACUAGCUUAGUCGACCUCCUCAAUCUUGGGGCCAGCGCCGCCGGAUGCAGCCGGGGUGUCGUCAUCCAUGCCGCCCUCCAUGUCGGCGCCAGCACCCUGGUACAUCUUGGCGAUGAUGGGGUUGCACAGGGCCUCCAGCUCCUUCAUCUUGUCCUCGAACUCGUCCGC